AUGAACCCAUCGGAGAUGCAAAGAAAAGCACCUCCGCGGAGACGGAGACACCGCAAUCGAGCACCGUUGACUCACAAGAUGAACAAAAUGGUGACGUCAGAAGAACAGAUGAAGUUGCCAUCCACCAAGAAAGCAGAGCCGCCGACUUGGGCACAACUAAAGAAGCUGACGCAGUUAGCUACAAAAUAUCUAGAGAACACAAAGGUGACACAAACCCCAGAGAGUAUGCUGCUUGCAGCCUUGAUGAUUGUAUCAAUGGUGUCUGCAGGUGUACCCAACAGCUCCGAAGAGACAGCGACCAUCGAGAACGGGCCAUGAUGACGAUGGCGGUUUUGUCGAAAAGAAAAGGGGGAAAUGUGGGGAAAAGCAAGAGAGAUCAGAUUGUUACUGUGUCUGUGUAGAAAGAAGUAGACAUAGGAGACUCCAUUUUGUUAUGUACUAAGAAAAAUUCUUCUGC
Long non-coding RNA from Homo sapiens (human), 457 nucleotides. Ensembl annotates it as endogenous retrovirus group K member 28. Its record names the gene ERVK-28. Lineage: Eukaryota; Metazoa; Chordata; Mammalia; Primates; Hominidae. The record is from Ensembl.